UACAGAGGGUGCAAGCGUUAAUCGGAAUUACUGGGCGUAAAGCGCGCGUAGGCGGCUGCUUAAGUCGGAUGUGAAAUCCCCGGGCUCAACCUGGGAACUGCACUCGAUACUGGGCGGCUAGAGUAUGAGAGAGGGAGGUAGAAUUCCACGUGUAGCGGUGAAAUGCGUAGAUAUGUGGAGGAAUACCGGUGGCGAAGGCGGCCUCCUGGUUCAAUACUGACGCUGAGGUGCGAAAGCGUGGGGAGCAAACAGG
RNAcentral lists this ribosomal RNA (253 nucleotides) under uncultured Oceanospirillales bacterium. RNAcentral's name for it is "partial 16S ribosomal RNA". It matches the Rfam family "Bacterial small subunit ribosomal RNA", at positions 524 to 776 of the family's 1533-position model. The record is from RNAcentral. Lineage: Bacteria; Pseudomonadati; Pseudomonadota; Gammaproteobacteria; Oceanospirillales.